RNAcentral lists this ribosomal RNA (261 nucleotides) under uncultured archaeon. Its description in RNAcentral is "partial 16S ribosomal RNA". It matches the Rfam family "Archaeal small subunit ribosomal RNA", at positions 748 to 1008 of the family's 1478-position model. The record is from RNAcentral.
AGGGUGUAAACGCUGCGGGCUUGGUGUUGGGGGUCCUUAGUGGGCGCCCAGUGCCGGAGAGAAGUUGUUAAGCCUGCUGCUUGGGGAGUAUGUCCGCAAGGAUGAAACUUAAAGGAAUUGGCGGGGGAGCACCGCAACGGGAGGAGCGUGCGGUUCAAUUGGAUUCAACGCCGAAAAACUCACCAGGAGCGACGGAUAUAUGAAGGUCAAGCUGAUGACUUUACCUGAUUUUCCGAGAGGUGGUGCAUGGCGUCAGUGACU